AAGUCGUAACAAGGUAACCGUAGGUGAACCUGCGGUUGGAUCAUUAGUAAUUACACUUGUUGUAAUGAUAAUGCAAAUUUUUAGUUGGAGUAGUGCGAUGAGUGGUAGUAACUGUGGUUAAUUUCACAGUAACAAUGACCAUGAGUGCUAUAAAGACAAGCGUUCGUCUCUUUGGUUGAGGUUUACUAUUUGAAGUCCCUUUGCAGUCCCACCUUUGAUGUCUCUAUACGCAGUCGCAGUAAACCUUGGCCUUUUAGGCAAACGAAAAGUACCAUUUUUAUAAACUUGACUGAUUUUAAAAGAGUAUAACUUUAGACAACGGAUCUCUAGGCUCUC
This 336-nucleotide unclassified non-coding RNA is filed under the name fungal sp. Its description in RNAcentral is "partial internal transcribed spacer region". The stretch from base 1 to 46 matches the Rfam family "Eukaryotic small subunit ribosomal RNA", at positions 1786 to 1831 of the family's 1831-position model. Lineage: Eukaryota; Fungi. The record is from RNAcentral.